RNAcentral lists this ribosomal RNA (253 nucleotides) under uncultured bacterium. Its description in RNAcentral is "partial 16S ribosomal RNA". It matches the Rfam family "Bacterial small subunit ribosomal RNA", at positions 524 to 776 of the family's 1533-position model. The record is from RNAcentral.
GACGAACCGUCCAAACGUUGUUCGGAAUCACUGGGCUUAAAGGGCGCGUAGGCGGGCUCCCAAGUCGGUGGUGAAAUCUUUCGGCCCAACCGGAAAACAGCCGCCGAUACUGGGAGCCUCGAGGGAGGUAGGGGUCGAGGGAACUUCCGGUGGAGCGGUGAAAUGCGUAGAUAUCGGAAGGAACGCCGGUGGCGAAAGCGCUCGACUGGACCUCUUCUGACGCUGAGGCGCGAAAGCCAGGGGAGCAAACGGG